CUGUAUCAAUGAACCGUCUUUCUUAAAUCACGAAUACAUAUAUGCCGUCAAGACCUUUAACAUACUAUACAAAAUGAACCUCUGUCUACAAAGCCUCAAAGAUUGUUAUACAUCAAAUUGGGCAGGGUACUGGCCUACCCAUAAGUCUGUAGCAAAACUCUGAUACGAUGAUUCAUAGACUCGGCUGCACUCCGAAUGAGGUGGAGUCUUACCGAUCCUUCGCUGAAUGUCAAUCACAUCUACUAUGAGGGCUCGUCAAACUGAUUAUCUAUACCUGCAGACAUGAAUGUAGCAUGCACAACAAAAGAACGUCNNNNNNNNNNNNNNNNNNNNNNNNNAAAUGUAUGACUGCCCAACCGGUGGUAAAUAAUGAUACAUAACUGCCCAACCGCCCAAUAACUACCCGACCGACCGUAGCUCGGUGAUAAAUGCAUGUCUGCCCAACCGGCCGUAGCACGUUGGUAAAUACAUAUCUGCCCAACCGGCCGUGGCACGGUGGUAAAUGAAUAUGCAUGACUACCCAACCAGCCAUAGCACGAUGGUAAAUAUGUAACUGCCCCACUGUUCUGGACCAUUAAAUGAUAAUCAAUAUUCUCUAUCUCCAAUCUUUUCUUCAUGCAUGACACAAGAUAUGUGCCCUUAAUUUAAUCAAGUUUAAAAAUCAGCUAAGGCUUUUCUUAUUGCUAAGUUGCUCCAGAACAAAAGGUUUCAGUUGUCCCUUAAAGGAGUAAAUAUUGUUGCCUGAAGAAGGAAUAGCAUCUGUGAUGCUACUGGCAAUCUGGAUACUUAUCUCUUAAAAUUAAAGCAUGCUGCUAAGAAAGAGAAAAACGCACAAGCAACAACUUCUAUGCGAGUUUUUUUUUUUUUCCCAACUGAAACGGUAAUCUAGCAUGACAAGAUUAAGCUUUUACUAACACAAGUAAUAUUUCCAUAUACAACUGCAAGUAUGUAUUGCAUAGAGAAACAUGUUUUGCAAAAGGAAAAAUAAAUUACUAUAUUAUAAAUAACAUCUUUAUCAAAUACUUCAAUAAGGAACUAUAUACAUACUUAGAUAUGCUUGAACAUUACUUUACUGGAAUUAAUAACAUAGACAUCCUUAACUGCUAAGAGUAGAAUCACUUAUGAAAUAGCAUUACGUUUACGUAUCGUUACAUGGAUCAUGCAAAAAGAAAGAAGGAAUAUCCUUAACAUACCUGAGUCGAUUCUCUUGACAAUCCUCUAACACACAUUAAUUAUGACAAAACACAGAGCAAAUCGUACGAAGAACUCGAAGUAAUCACGUUGCUAUGCAAAAAACAUCUUGGCUAAAGCUCUUUCUUAAUAGCGUUGCUAUGUUCCUUGGUUGAAACACUCUUAAGAGAUUAGAAAGUGAUUUGAAUCAAGAAUGUUAUCAUUAACUAAGAGGUGCUGAACGUUCUUAAAUCCUUCUUCUCACCAAAUCAUAUGUGUAUGAUAUAUGUAGCCUUUCCAAAAAUGAGAAUAAAUGGUCAUUAGAUGUUUGGCUUCC
RNAcentral lists this long non-coding RNA (1507 nucleotides) under Nicotiana tabacum (common tobacco). RNAcentral describes it as "long non-coding RNA (NTAB_LNC010648)". Lineage: Eukaryota; Viridiplantae; Streptophyta; Magnoliopsida; Solanales; Solanaceae. The record is from RNAcentral.